RNAcentral lists this unclassified non-coding RNA (255 nucleotides) under rhizosphere metagenome. RNAcentral describes it as "partial ribosomal RNA internal transcribed spacer region". The record is from RNAcentral.
GUAGGUGAACCUGCGGAAGGAUCAUUAACGAGUAAGAGGGCCUCGCGCCCCGGGGGGCUUCGGCCCCCAACUCCCAACCCCGUGCGUACCUACCUUUUGUUGCUUUGGCGGGCCUCGGUUAACGCCGACGCCGGCCCGGGGGCCGGCCCGGGCUCGUGAGUGCCCGCCGGAGGCCAUAUCAAACCCUGUUUCAUCAGUGUAGUCGGAGCAAAAAUUCAAUAACUAAAACUUUCAACAACGGAUCUCUUGGUUCUG